Cyprinus carpio carpio is the source of this 916-nucleotide long non-coding RNA. The record is from Ensembl. Lineage: Eukaryota; Metazoa; Chordata; Actinopteri; Cypriniformes; Cyprinidae.
GAGAAGGGUAUUCCUGCACAACUGGAGGCUGCAGUUUCAGGACCGCAGUUCUAGGACCCUAGUUUUUUUGUGACAGCGCCACCUACCGUACUGGAUCAACACUAAUUAAAGAUGGACGACGUGGACAGCAAUCAGACGAUGCAUAUAACAAUCCAAAAAGGGAGAUCCCUGCCCGAAUUGAAGAGAUGCACCACAUGCUGCAAGGACUUUCACUGCCCGUUCUGUAGUUCAGCUUUGUUCCACCCAUCAAAGUUGAGCAAGAUCAGAACCCAUUUAGAGAGCCAUUUCAAUCGUGCAGUUAUCCAUGAAGGGUAUACCAUUCACAGAUGUGGGUUACAUUGCCGACCACAGUUGCAUUACCACUGUAUCCACUGCCAGUCAAUGCUGUUACGUAAAUCUGUGAGGAACAGCAGGACAUCUUGUUUUCUUAUCUGAGAGGAGUGCUGGAUAGAACACCAACAGAAUUGAGCUUCACAGAUGAAGUGCAGUUCAUCUGUGAUGUUCUUUUUCCGGAGGUAUGCCGGUCCAUGUAAUUUGUUUGUUUGUGUCCUGCUCCUGCACUUUCAAAAGCUACUGUAUAAACUACAUGCUGGUGCUACUCAUGUAUGGACCCAUGUUUAAUAGCUUGCUGUUCAGUAGUGCUAUAACAGUAUAUUUAUAUUAAUGUUUUUCAUAGGCCAUCAUAUAUGCCCUGGCUGCCCUCCGGAAUUUGUCCUUGCAGGAGGCUGAGCAGGUCUUCCUUUCUGGUCCAGAUUAUCAUUUCAGUGAAGUGGAAGAAUUUAAUAGAAAGAUUGACAAACAAUUGAGGAAAGAAGGGAGAUCAUUCAAUUGGUCUGGUGCCUUUCCUGAUCUCCUUCCUUGUAGGCUUUUUAGUGCAGACUGCAGAGAUGGAGAGGAUCUCAAUGGAUGAAUUCGG